This 400-nucleotide transfer-messenger RNA is filed under the name Bacteroidales bacterium. It matches the Rfam family "transfer-messenger RNA". From Rfam's summary of the family: Bacterial tmRNA, also known as 10Sa RNA or SsrA, is named for its dual tRNA and mRNA-like properties. Its role is to liberate the mRNA from a stalled ribosome. To accomplish this part of the tmRNA is used as a reading frame that ends in a translation stop signal. The record is from RNAcentral. Lineage: Bacteria; Pseudomonadati; Bacteroidota; Bacteroidia; Bacteroidales.
GGGGCUGACUGGCUUUGACAGCGAGAUGAGCCUUUGUGUAAGCAUGCAGAGAGAUGUCAUCUAUCUCUAUAAUCCACGGUGGCAAAAUAUAAUUGGCGAGAAUAACUACGCUCUUGCUGCCUAAUCGAAGUACAGUAGAUUACUGGCUUAAUCUCCGCUCAAGGUAGUGGAGACAAGACAUCACCCCAAGGUCGUAAUCCCGAGACCAAGGAACCGGUGGUGCAGAUAAAUCGGGAAUAGUCUGGCGGCAGCCUCGUGCCUCAGAUGAAACUUUAGAGGAUACGGAGUGACUUGGUGGUCUGGGUCUUGGUCCCUCCCGACAAUGAAGGCCAGAAUAAGCAUGUAGAAAGCACAGAUGUUCCCCGUUUGGACGAGGGUUCGAACCCCUCCAGCUCCACAU